UAGUGGUGAGGUAAGAGCCCACCAAGGCAGAGAUCGGUAGCCGGCCUGAGAGGGCACACGGUCACACUGGUCACUUGAAACACGGGCCAGACUCCUACGGGGAGGCAGCAGUGGGGAAUCUUGCACCAAUGGGGGGCAAACCCUGAUGCAGCGACUGGCCGCGUGAGCGAUGAAGCCCUUCGGGGUGUAAAGCUUCUUUCGGCAGGGAAGAUAGUGACGGGUACCUGCAGAAGCAGCUGCGGUAACUACGUGCCAGCAGGCCGCGGUAAUACGUAGAGGCAGCAAGCGUUGUUCGGAGUUACUUGGGCGUAAAGGGUGUGUAGGCGGUUCUAUAGGACAGGAUGUGGAAAUCCCCGGGCUCAACUGGGAAACUGAAUUUGGUGAACUUGUAGAGCUGGAGUGCGGCA
RNAcentral lists this ribosomal RNA (407 nucleotides) under uncultured bacterium. Its description in RNAcentral is "bacterial SSU rRNA". It matches the Rfam family "Bacterial small subunit ribosomal RNA", at positions 246 to 653 of the family's 1533-position model. The record is from RNAcentral.